Molecule: long non-coding RNA, 282 nt
Filed under: Gallus gallus (chicken)
Lineage: Eukaryota; Metazoa; Chordata; Aves; Galliformes; Phasianidae
Source: RNAcentral
AUGAAGAUAGAAAUAAAUUCCCUUUUCUAUGUCGGAGACACUGCCUUUAAGAAUUUAGUUCCAGAAUCUCUCAUUGGAAACAGCAGUAACUGUUGAUGAUGGUGAAUGAGAAUGGCAAGUGAAAGUACUCACCAACGCAACACUUUCAGACAUGAUGUUUCGAAGCACUGUUCACACUGCUGCAUCACCAUUGGGGAACAAAAGCUGAAGAAUCACACCGUAAUCCUCUUCUGAUAGUGAAAUAUUGAAAAAAAGUAAUGGGUCCCUUACAAGAAGGCUUAG